GCGCGCUCGGCGGCGGCCACCUGGUUGCGCAUCAGGGCCAGCAGCGGCGACACGAUGACGGUCGGUCCGUGCCCGGCGGCGCGCA
RNAcentral lists this transfer RNA (85 nucleotides) under Mycolicibacterium chitae. RNAcentral's name for it is "tRNA-Arg". Lineage: Bacteria; Bacillati; Actinomycetota; Actinomycetes; Mycobacteriales; Mycobacteriaceae. The record is from RNAcentral.